GACGUACAACCCAAACGUUAUUCGGAAUCACUGGGCUUAAAGGGUCCGUAGGCGGCGAAGAAAGUCGGGUGUGAAAUACCUCAGCUCAACUGAGGAAUUGCGCUCAAAACUACUUUGCUCGAGAAAGACAGAGGUGAGCGGAACUGAUGGUGGAGCGGUGAAAUGCAUUGAUAUCAUCAGGAACACCGGUGGCGAAAGCGGCUCACUGGGUCUUUUCUGACGCUGAUGGACGAAAGCUAGGGGAGCGAACGGG
Molecule: ribosomal RNA, 253 nt
Filed under: uncultured bacterium
Lineage: Bacteria
Description: partial 16S ribosomal RNA
Rfam family: Bacterial small subunit ribosomal RNA
Source: RNAcentral